This 402-nucleotide ribosomal RNA is filed under the name uncultured Eubacteriales bacterium. RNAcentral describes it as "uncultured Clostridiales bacterium partial 16S ribosomal RNA". It matches the Rfam family "Bacterial small subunit ribosomal RNA", at positions 355 to 774 of the family's 1533-position model. The record is from RNAcentral. Lineage: Bacteria; Bacillati; Bacillota; Clostridia; Eubacteriales.
UGGGGAAUAUUGCACAAUGGAGGAAACUCUGAUGCAGCAACGCCGCGUGAGUGAUGAAGGUCUUCGGAUCGUAAAACUCUGUCUUAUGGGACGAUAAUGACGGUACCAUAGGAGGAAGCCACGGCUAACUACGUGCCAGCAGCCGCGGUAAUACGUAGGUGGCAAGCGUUGUCCGGAUUUACUGGGCGUAAAGGAUGUGUAGGCGGAUAUUUAAGUGAGAUGUGAAAUCCCCGGGCUUAACUUGGGGGCUGCAUUUCAAACUGGAUGUCUAGAGUGCAGGAGAGGAAAGCAGAAUUCCUAGUGUAGCGGUGAAAUGCGUAGAGAUUAGGAAGAAUACCGGUGGCGAAGGCGGCUUUCUGGACUGUAACUGACGCUGAGGCAUGAAAGCGUGGGGAGCAAACA